AUUGAACGCUGGCGGAAUGCUUUACACAUGCAAGUCGAACGGCAGCACGGGAGCAAUCCUGGUGGCGAGUGGCGAACGGGUGAGUAAUGUAUCGGAACGUGCCCAGUCGUGGGGGAUAACGUAGCGAAAGCUACGCUAAUACCGCAUACGAUCUAUGGAUGAAAGCGGGGGAUCGCAAGACCUCGCGCGAUUGGAGCGGCCGAUAUCAGAUUAGGUAGUUGGUGGGGUAAAGGCCCACCAAGCCUGCGAUCUGUAGCUGGUCUGAGAGGACGACCAGCCACACUGGAACUGAGACACGGUCCAGACUCCUACGGGAGGCAGCAGUGGGGAAUUUUGGACAAUGGGCGCAAGCCUGAUCCAGCAAUGCCGCGUGCAGGAUGAAGGCCUUCGGGUUGUAAACUGCUUUUGUACGGAACGAAACGGCUUUUUCUAAUACAGAGAGCUAAUGACGGUACCGUAAGAAUAAGCACCGGCUAACUACGUGCCAGCCGCCGCCGUAA
Molecule: ribosomal RNA, 500 nt
Filed under: uncultured bacterium
Lineage: Bacteria
Description: partial 16S ribosomal RNA
Rfam family: Bacterial small subunit ribosomal RNA
Source: RNAcentral